UGGGCUGGGGCUCAGUGGCAGAGCGCUUGCCUCACACGUGUGAGGCCCAGGUUCAAUCCUUAGCAGCACAU
This 71-nucleotide transfer RNA is filed under the name Ictidomys tridecemlineatus (thirteen-lined ground squirrel). Its description in RNAcentral is "Spermophilus tridecemlineatus (thirteen-lined ground squirrel) tRNA". It matches the Rfam family "tRNA". From Rfam's summary of the family: Transfer RNA (tRNA) molecules are approximately 80 nucleotides in length. Their secondary structure includes four short double-helical elements and three loops (D, anti-codon, and T loops). The record is from Rfam by way of RNAcentral. Lineage: Eukaryota; Metazoa; Chordata; Mammalia; Rodentia; Sciuridae.